GAUGAACGCUGGCGGCGUGCCUAACACAUGCAAGUCGAGCGAACCCUUCGGGGUGAGCGGCGGACGGGUGAGUAACGCGUGGGUAACCUGCCCUGUACACACGGAUAACAUACCGAAAGGUAUGCUAAUACGAGAUAAUAUGUAAUGAUCGCAUGGUCGAUACAUCAAAGCUCCGGCGGUACAGGAUGGACCCGCGUCUGAUUAGCUAGUUGGUGAGGUAAUGGCUCACCAAGGCGACGAUCAGUAGCCGACCUGAGAGGGUGAUCGGCCACAUUGGAACUGAGACACGGUCCAAACUCCUACGGGAGGCAG
This 312-nucleotide ribosomal RNA is filed under the name uncultured Bacillota bacterium. Its description in RNAcentral is "bacterial SSU rRNA". It matches the Rfam family "Bacterial small subunit ribosomal RNA", at positions 28 to 351 of the family's 1533-position model. The record is from RNAcentral. Lineage: Bacteria; Bacillati; Bacillota.